CAGAACUGGUUGCUGCUGCUACCCUUGUAACUGCUGUUGCUGCUGCUGCUACUGAGUUCUGCUCCUGGAGGUUGUAGGAUCAGCAACAAUGCAGCCCUGUCAGACCACAGUUGACCCCGAGGACUGAGCCCGGCCUCCACCUCCGAUGCUCUGCAGUUCUAAAGACCAAUCCAGGAAUCCUGGAAUUUCCGAACCAAUGACUGUGCAGGGAAGAAGGAGAAAUCACGCAAUCAAACCCUUUCUGGAGACAUGGCUGUUCUCUCUUAUGGGAAUUUUUCCAAAACAGCCCCAGCAUGCUCUGGGCUCCUUUCUCCAAAGAAACCAGCAGGACGACCAGCACAGACACGGAUGGCCUCUCGGCUACAGAGAUCCACCCUUCACUGUCAUCCAUGUCUAAGCACAGCCCAGCAGGAUUAGGGAUUCAGAACCAAACUGACAAGAACUUGAAAAUGCUGGCCUGAGUGAUAUCUAAUAUCCAGACUCCCUCAGCAGAUAUCAAGGAAGCAGCCAGAAGACCACAGAACAGACUGAGACAUGCAGUAGCAGCCCAUGUGUCUUCCCUGCCCAGAGAGCCAGAUGGCUGCUCUGCAACCGGAACCAGCACACUGAGGAAAGGGCCGUGGGAUGGGUGAGUAUCUCGAUGAACAUUCGUGGGUGGGGGCUGGGUGCUUCACUCUAGGCGGGUAACACAUAAGUGGUUUCCUCCCAAGUGAGCAGUACAGGAGUAUGAGAGCUAGCUACUUCAUCAUGUGCUGGUAACCCAUAAUUGGAUUCCUCCCAAAUGGGAAGCGUUCGUGGGUGGAAGCUAGUCACCUCACCACAUGCAAACAAAGUAGAAGUGAAUUCCUCUUGGGUGGGACCUGGGUGUUUUGCCACACGCGAGUAACAUAUAAGUAUAUUCUUCCCAAUAAGAAAAGCUCUAAUAUUAAAUAAUCAUAUUCCUGCCGAAAGGGAGGUUCAAUUCCCCACUCCCAAAUUAAACAAAUAAUUCAAUUUUUAUGCAUCCAAAAUAAUCAGAUAAUUUCAUUAGCCUCAUGGAAUAAAUUUUGAAUAAAAUUCAGCUUUUCUGUCCCCGGUCUGUCUCCCUGUCUCCCUCUCUCUUGACACGCUGAUUCCCGAAAAAACCCAUCCCCGGGCAAUGGGUGAUACCCACCCUGGACAUCUCUGCUAUAUUGGCACCUGUGUGUAGGACCUCACAGAAUGUAGCAUCAUCUUCAAACACCUAGGGCAGUUUCAUUCCCGUUGCCCUCAGCCCUGCAGCCCCCCGGACCACCAAAAGCACUUCCCUAACCUCCUGCCAUCUCCCACUGUUUGAUCCAGGGCCUUCACUCUGGGUCUGCAGGGUUGCAGAGAACCAACCCUGGGAAGUGACACUACUGCAGAUGUGCCCAUGCUGGAAAGGCUUUGGUUGUGACCAGAUUCUGGAUGGCUUAGUGGGUGGGAGCCCCAUGAUGUCCCACCGUGUCCCUCCGCAGCUGGACCCCAGACCUUGUGAGCUUGGUCGUCUAUGCUGUUUUUGUGUUUCCAGUGUUUUCAUCCUUCCUCAAAAUAAUAAGAAUAAUGGCAUUUGUUAAGCACUUACUACGUGCCAAGCUCUGUUCUAAGCGCUGGGGUAGA
Ornithorhynchus anatinus (platypus) is the source of this 1617-nucleotide long non-coding RNA. RefSeq lists it as uncharacterized. The transcript is spliced from 4 exons. The record is from RefSeq and is a predicted model, not a curated record. Lineage: Eukaryota; Metazoa; Chordata; Mammalia; Monotremata; Ornithorhynchidae.